Molecule: ribosomal RNA, 468 nt
Filed under: uncultured bacterium
Lineage: Bacteria
Description: bacterial SSU rRNA
Rfam family: Bacterial small subunit ribosomal RNA
Source: RNAcentral
GAUGAACGCUGGCGGCGUGCCUAACACAUGCAAGUCGAGCGAAGCACUUUGCUUAGAUUCUUCGGAUGAAGAGGAUUGUGACUGAGCGGCGGACGGGUGAGUAACGCGUGGGUAACCUGCCUCAUACAGGGGGAUAACAGUUAGAAAUGACUGCUAAUACCGCAUAAGACCACAGCACCGCAUGGUGCGGGGGUAAAAACUCCGGUGGUAUGAGAUGGACCCGCGUCUGAUUAGCUAGUUGGUAAGGUAACGGCUUACCAAGGCGACGAUCAGUAGCCGACCUGAGAGGGUGACCGGCCACAUUGGGACUGAGACACGGCCCAAACUCCUACGGGAGGCAGCAGUGGGGAAUAUUGCACAAUGGGGGAAACCCUGAUGCAGCGACGCCGCGUGAGCGAAGAAGUAUUUCGGUAUGUAAAGCUCUAUCAGCAGGGAAGAAAAUGACGGUACCUGACUAAGAAGCACCGG